AAGUCUUCACCAGGAAAUACUAAUUUCUUGCAAUUUGCAACAUGGAGCUCGCUAAUUCCUAUCUAAUUUUCCAGAUAUGAUGGCUCUGAUUGAUGUCAGAGUGGGAUUCAAAGUAGAACUUCAGUGACUCCAAGGAGCACCAAGUCACCAAAAGUUGGCCUUCUGUAUCCAUGAGUUCCAUAUGAGUGGAUUCAACCAACUGUAGAUUUUUUACAGUCCAGAGAUGUCUUUCUCAAGUACCUGGAAGCCAGCUCUUUGAAAUGUAACAUCAAGAAUACAGUGCUCCAUUAUGGAAAACAGUAUGGAAGUUCCUCAAAAAUUUAAACAUAGAACUACCAUCUGACUCAGCAAUCCCAUUUCUGGGUACAUAUCCAGAGGAAAUAAAAUCAUAUUCCCAAAAAAUAGUUGCACUCCCAUGUACAUUGCACCAUUAUUCACAUAGCCAAGAUAAAGAACAGCCUAACAGGUGAAUGGAUUAAAUAAUGUGAGAUGUAUAUGUGUGUGUGUAUAUAUAUAUAUAUAUAUGUAUAUAUAUAUAUAUAAUCCCAUGUGUGAAAACAAUGUAUAGAUAUAUGGCUAUUUGGAUAUGUAUGUGCGUGUGUGUGUGUGUGUAUAUAUAUAUAUACACAUACGCAAUGGAAUAUUAUUCCAUCUUUUUUAAAAAAGGAUAUCUUUUCAUUUGUAACAACAAGGAUGAGCCUGGAGAACGUUGUGUUAAGGGAAAUAAGCCAGGCAUAGAAAGACAAAUACUGCAUAAUCAAACUUAUAUGUAGAAUCUUUAAAAAAGUCCAACUCCUAGUAACAGAGAGUAGAAUGGUGGUUACUAGGGGCUGGAUAUAGUGAAAAAGGAAGAUAUUGGUUAAAACGUACAACCUUUCAGUUAUACAGUGAGUAUGUUCUGGAGACUUAAUAUACAGCAUGGUGGCUACACUUAAGGAUAAUGUAUUGUCAUUAAUGUAAUGUAAUGUCUUGAAAUUUGCUGACAGAACGGAUCGCAAGUGUUCUCACUACAAAAAAGGCAAUUAUGCGAGAUGAUGGGUAUGUUAAUUAGCUUGACUGUG
This 1061-nucleotide long non-coding RNA is filed under the name Homo sapiens (human). Its description in RNAcentral is "non-protein coding LINC00571:12". The record is from RNAcentral. Lineage: Eukaryota; Metazoa; Chordata; Mammalia; Primates; Hominidae.